Molecule: ribosomal RNA, 823 nt
Filed under: uncultured Bacillota bacterium
Lineage: Bacteria; Bacillati; Bacillota
Description: bacterial SSU rRNA
Rfam family: Bacterial small subunit ribosomal RNA
Source: RNAcentral
AGUCGAACGAGAAAGCGGGGGCAACCUCGCGAGUAAAGUGGCGUACGGGUGAGUAACACGUGGGUAAUCUACCCUUUAGUGGGGAAUAACGCUGGGAAACCGGCGCUAAUACCGCAUAAUCCCGAGAGGGGAAAGUCGCAAGACGCUGAAGGAGGAGCCCGCGGCCGAUUAGCCAGUUGGUAGGGUAAUGGCCUACCAAAGCAAAGAUCGGUAGCCGGCCUGAGAGGACACACGGCCACACUGGCACUGAAACACGGGUCAGACUCCUACGGGAGGCAGCAGUGGGGAAUCUUGCACAAUGGGGGAAACCCUGAUGCAGCGACGCCGCGUGAGCGAUGAAGCCCUUCGGGGUGUAAAGCUCUUUCGGCAGGGACGAUAAUGACGGUACCUGCAGAAGCAGCUGCGGCUAACUACGUGCCAGCAGCCGCGGUAAUACGUAGGCAGCGAGCGUUGUUCGGAGUUACUGGGCGUAAAGGGUGUGUAGGCGGUUCUCUAAGUUUGGUGUGAAAUCUCCCGGCUCAACCGGGAGGGUGCGCCGAAAACUGGAGGGCUAGAGUGCGGGAAGGGAGAGUGGAAUUCCUGGUGUAGCGGUGAAAUGCGUAGAUAUCAGGAGGAACACCGGUGGUGCAGACGGCUCUCUGGACCGCGACUGACGCUGAGACACGAAAGCGUGGGUAGCAAACAGGAUUAGAUACCCUGGUAGUCCACGCCCUAAACGAUGCAUAUUUGGUGUAGGUCAUUCAGUUGAUCUGUGCCGGAGCUAACGCGUUAAAUAUGCCGCCUGGGGAGUACAGUCGCAAGGCUGAAACUCAAAGGAAUUGAC